GACUUGUUUUAUUGAAGAAUUCCAGAACAUCAGAGGGACAGACACGUCAGAGAACCGCUCAUCUAAAAAAACAUGUGUUAGAAAACCAGCAAGAUGGAGAGCUGUCACACACUACUGCUGUGGUCGCCUAGGAGACACGCAUGUCACUGUUACCGGAUCGUCUAGGAGACACGCAUGUCACUGUUACAGGGUCGCCUAGGAGACACACGCAUGUCACUGUUACAGGGUCGCCUAGGAGACACACGCAUGUCACUGUUACAGGGUCGCCUAGGAGACACACGCAUGUCACUGUUACAGGGUCGCCUAGGAGACACAAGCAUGUCACUCUGUCCAGAAUGUUUCUCAUGAUCCUCUUCCUCUUUCUUAUUGGACAACACACUUUCAACACGCUUAGAACAUGUUUAAUGUAAAAACAGGAACAUUUAGACAAAGCAAGGGAACGUCAGGGAGAACCGUUAAUUAACCAGGAAUAAGGUAGAACCCUAGGAGAACCAACUGUGGAGGAGGGGGGCACAGGAACACAAGUCACUAUGGGACGGGACGCGCUUUGCUUCCUACACAAUCAUGAAAUGCUGUUUAAUUAAAAAAGAUUUUAGUGUGUUCAUCUUGCCUGCAGACACUUUGUUGAUAUGACCACUGCAGAUCUACAUUAUAUUACUCAGCUUUGCUUUGUGCUAAAAAUCUGUACGGAUAGUAGAUAGUAUACUUAUAAAAUCACUGAUAAAAAUAUUCCUCUGUUAACAAUAUGUCUUGGAGGGGGACCACGAACACUGGGGCAGGCUGGUGGGAAGGGUUGGGGUCGGAGGUCAGGGGUUGGCAGUGUUGCUACUCAGACUUGGCUUCCUCCUUCUCUGCCUCGGGAGCAUCCUCAAUCUGCAGGGUCAGAGGUUAGAGGUCAGUAUAACAACCUGACAUUCCUGUUGGUAGUUUCUCAUCCUAAGCAGGAGCUUAUCUCUGCCAUCAAGCUGACCAAUGUCUUCUAAUGUCCCUUUAUGACCAGCCUCAUGUCCCCUACAGUCCAUGAUGUCUUUCUAGUUCCUCCUAGUAGUGUACAUAAGCAAUAAGGCCCGAGGGGGUGUGAUAUACGGCCAAUAUACCACGGCUAAGGGCUGUUCUUAUGCAUGACGCAUCGCGGAGUGCCUGGAUACAGCCCUUAGCCGUGGUAUAUUGGCCAUAUAUCAC
This 1182-nucleotide long non-coding RNA is filed under the name Salmo salar (Atlantic salmon). Its description in RNAcentral is "lncRNA (ENSSSAG00000085911.1)". Lineage: Eukaryota; Metazoa; Chordata; Actinopteri; Salmoniformes; Salmonidae. The record is from RNAcentral.